GAAGGUAUAGCUCAGUGGUUGAGUGUGUGCUUAGCAUGCACGAGGUCUUGGGUUCGAUCCCCAGUAUCUCCA
RNAcentral lists this transfer RNA (72 nucleotides) under Camelus bactrianus (Bactrian camel). It matches the Rfam family "tRNA". Rfam says of the family: Transfer RNA (tRNA) molecules are approximately 80 nucleotides in length. Their secondary structure includes four short double-helical elements and three loops (D, anti-codon, and T loops). RNAcentral also lists the same sequence under 1 other name. Lineage: Eukaryota; Metazoa; Chordata; Mammalia; Artiodactyla; Camelidae. The record is from Rfam by way of RNAcentral.